AAGAUUUCAUGAAUUUAGGAUCUUCAAUUGAGGGUCAUCACUUGUCACGAUAGAGCUUUGGAUUCAACCUUGAGCCUCACCACUUUGGCAGAGGGCUACGUCAAAAGGCUUCGGCGACAUCUUCGGCAUUUAGGGCUUUGGUGCUUCAGAUUUAGAGGACUUUUGGCAAAGGGCUUCGAUGGUUUGGCAGUGUAGGAUGCCAGGUGGCGAAGUGCAACAAUAGUCUCCUAAGUCCAUGUAUGAUUAUUCAUGUCAUGCAUGGACUUCUAUCUUGAGUGGAAUUUCCUGAGAGUAGGUCUUCGUGUCACAGUUAGAUUUUCGAUUGUCCACAUCAACGUAACCAAAAAUGAGGUCAACAUAAUAGAACAAAAGUACUGUUCUUGUUACUGGAGCGGGUGGAAGAACUGGUAAAAAAAUCUGCCUAUAUACUCUUUAUUUUGCUGUUUAUUAUAGUUCUGGGUGUUAUAUAUUUGUAUUUUGUUGGUUUUGAUGUGCCCAAGGGUGAUUAUGGGUUUGGGAUUUGGAUUUCUGUGGCAUAGUUAAAGUUCUUUUUGUCUGCAACUUCAAUUGACUCCAUACUAGAUAGAAUAGAUAGAUUGACCUAUUUCCUAUUUUUUGAGUACCAAAGAUUCAACUUACAAGGAAUCAUUUGAAAUUGUUUACAUAUUUAGAAUGAAAAAGGUUCCUUUUUAGACUUGUACAGAUAAUAAAACUUUUACAUGGAACGAUUAACAUUGUAUUAGAUCCUAAAGACCUAAUUAUGAAAAAUGAUCACU
This 776-nucleotide long non-coding RNA is filed under the name Olea europaea (common olive). RNAcentral describes it as "long non-coding RNA (OEUR_LNC009575)". Lineage: Eukaryota; Viridiplantae; Streptophyta; Magnoliopsida; Lamiales; Oleaceae. The record is from RNAcentral.